This 372-nucleotide ribosomal RNA is filed under the name uncultured organism. RNAcentral's name for it is "partial 16S ribosomal RNA". It matches the Rfam family "Bacterial small subunit ribosomal RNA", at positions 527 to 896 of the family's 1533-position model. The record is from RNAcentral.
GGAGGGUGCAAACGUUGUUCGGAAUCACUGGGCGUAAAGGGCGCGCAGGCGGACCUGUAAGUCAGGAGUGAAAACUCGGGGCUCAACUCCGAGCCUGCUUCUGAAACUGCAAGUCUUGAGGGCCGGAGGAGGAGAGUGGAAUUCCUAGUGUAGCGGUGGAAUGCGUAGAUAUUAGGAAGAACACCAGUGGCGAAGGCGACUCUCUGGACGGUUCCUGACGCUGAGGCGCGAAAGCUAGGGGAGCAAACAGGGAUUAGAUACCCUGGUAGUCCUAGCCGUAAACGAUGAGUGCUAGGUGGUGGUGGUUUCAACGCCUUCACUGCCGGAGCUAACGCAUUAAGCACUCCGCCUGGGAGUACGGCCGCAAGGUUG